RNAcentral lists this long non-coding RNA (256 nucleotides) under Lathyrus oleraceus (garden pea). Its description in RNAcentral is "Pisum sativum (pea) long non-coding RNA (PSAT_LNC022433)". The record is from RNAcentral. Lineage: Eukaryota; Viridiplantae; Streptophyta; Magnoliopsida; Fabales; Fabaceae.
GAAAAUGAUCUUAGUACGAGACCAAUUGAUGAGGAAAUGAAUACGGUUAUGAUAAUUAUGCAUGCAAUACAAUGUAUGCAACAUAAGUAUCUCCUUAUAGAGAAAAGUUCGGUGACAAAACUCCAAGAAAAAGGGUAGGGGGAAAAUCCACUAGGGAAUGAGAAUUUCGGCAAAAGAAAGGAUGAUUGCCCCUAUCAAUGGCUGGGGAGAAAAAUAAUGGUGAUUCCUAGCAAUGGCUGGAACACCUAACUCUGAU